UCCAGAGAUGGAUUGGUGCCUUCGGGAACUUUGAGACAGGUGCUGCAUGGCUGUCGUCAGCUCGUGUUGUGAAAUGUUGGGUUAAGUCCCGCAACGAGCGCAACCCUUAUCCUUGUUUGCCAGCGAGUAAUGUCGGGAACUCCAGGGAGACUGCCGGUGAUAAACCGGAGGAAGGUGGGGACGACGUCAAGUCAUCAUGGCCCUUACGAGUAGGGCUACACACGUGCUACAAUGGCGCAUACAGAGGGCAGCAAGCUAGCGAUAGUGAGCGAAUCCCAAAAAGUGCGUCGUAGUCCGGAUUGGAGUUUGCAACUCGACUCCAUGAAGUCGGAAUCGCUAGUAAUCGUGGAUCAGAAUGCCACGGUGAAUACGUUCCCGGG
This 380-nucleotide ribosomal RNA is filed under the name Vibrio sp. U13. Its description in RNAcentral is "bacterial SSU rRNA". It matches the Rfam family "Bacterial small subunit ribosomal RNA", at positions 999 to 1378 of the family's 1533-position model. The record is from RNAcentral. Lineage: Bacteria; Pseudomonadati; Pseudomonadota; Gammaproteobacteria; Vibrionales; Vibrionaceae.